RNAcentral lists this long non-coding RNA (1404 nucleotides) under Pogona vitticeps (central bearded dragon). RNAcentral describes it as "lncRNA (ENSPVIG00000006921.1)". The record is from RNAcentral. Lineage: Eukaryota; Metazoa; Chordata; Lepidosauria; Squamata; Agamidae.
UCUUUCCUCUCUUACUGUUUUUGUUUUGCACAUCGUGUAAUGUAAUGUAGUGUUUUUAUCAUUUAGAACUGCCUAUUUACACUUUUAUUGUAUCAUUUUAUAGUUGUUAGCCGCCUAGAGUGGUCCUCACCGACCAGAUAGGCAGGGUAUAAAUUAAAUAAAUAAAUAAAUUCACAGAAUACUGUACUGGAGAAUAUUGUACUGUUCCAUCAAGCCCUGUUUGGGGAAACCUGGAGAACCAAACUGGCAACUAAGGGUUAAAAACAUCGAUUUCGGAUUCCUAGACGGGAAGGCGACCUUUGAAGGGGGAGACCUUUCCCUCUCCAUAGGAAAGGCUCCCUCUGCAAAGACGUCCCUUCCUGUCACUCCUUUUUCUUCCUCCGGAGGAAAGCGUGGCUUAAAGUGCUUAGAAGCCGGACUGGGAUCUGGGGAGCCUCCGCCUCUCCCCCCCCCCAUUGCAACUUAGGAGGGAUGGUUUUCUAGAUGCCUCCAGGAAGAUCCUGAGGCGUUUUCCCCCAGCCAACUGCGAUCUGGUGACUUCUUCCUGGAGGAAGGGGUUUCAAGCCAGGGGGACCAGUAACAGUAAAUGGUCCAGUGGCCUUUGAGGAGGUGGCUGUCUAUUUCUCCCAAGAGGAGUGGGCACGGCUGGAUGCUGACCAGAGGGCUCUGCACCAGGAAGUCAUGGAGGAGAACUGGAAAACUGUAUAUUCUCUUGGUAAGGCCCCCUCUCUCCCCAGCUAAUCUCUCUUUACCAGCACAAUAAUUUCUAGCAACAAUGAGAGCAAAAAUUCUGCUCUGGUGCUGAAAUGGUGUCUGAGCUCACACUAACUAUUGUAGUAUCCUUAAGGCUGGAUUGGGCAACCUCUGGACCUCCAGAUACGUUAAAUUCCUAGCACAGAAGCCUUCAUUUGCAAAAGUGGAAUCAGGAUGAAAAUAAUCACUGAUCUAACAAUGCUGUGACAAUUUAGAAAGCUGAUGACAUGAUGAUUUCCUAAGGACAGGGUCUUUUCAGGAUAUGGUUUACUUUACUAUUGCUUCACAAUAACAAUUUUUAUCUGCAUAUUUUAAAAAGAGCUUUGGUCAUCUUCUGCUUUAAUAUGAGAACUGAUUUAAUUAUAUUUUCAUAUGUGUAAUGUUUUGCUUUAAAAUUUCUACUUGAUAAGCACUGGUUGAUUAAUUGAUUGAUUGAUCGAUUGAUUGAUUGAUUGGAUUUUUACCCCACCCCUUUAGACCAUGUCUACUCGGGGCGGCUUACAUAGAUAAAAGAGAACAAUAUAUAAAAUAUAUAAAAUUAUAAAAUUAGUGUUACUGCUUUAUCACAGGGGUGUGAGGUGUCUCUGGUUAAAACAGAGACACCUCACCCCCUGUAAUAAAGCAGUAACAGAGAGAGAGAGAGAGAGAGAA